Molecule: non-coding RNA, 76 nt
Organism: Phrynosoma platyrhinos (Desert horned lizard)
Lineage: Eukaryota; Metazoa; Chordata; Lepidosauria; Squamata; Phrynosomatidae
Source: the annotation of a GenBank genome assembly
AUCUAUGUAAUUGACAUAGUGGUUUGAACUUUAGACUAGGACUCUGGAGACCAGGGUUCAAUUCCCUGCUCAGCCA